RNAcentral lists this small nuclear RNA (165 nucleotides) under Nelumbo nucifera (sacred lotus). RNAcentral's name for it is "U1 spliceosomal RNA". It matches the Rfam family "U1 spliceosomal RNA". From Rfam's summary of the family: U1 is a small nuclear RNA (snRNA) component of the spliceosome (involved in pre-mRNA splicing). Lineage: Eukaryota; Viridiplantae; Streptophyta; Magnoliopsida; Proteales; Nelumbonaceae. The record is from Rfam by way of RNAcentral.
AUACUUACCUGGACGUGGUCGAUGGUUGAUUGAUCAAGAAGGCCCAUGGCCUAGGUUGACGACCUCUAUUGCAUAGAGGACGGUUGCCCGCCUAACAUCUCCCCUAGUGGGAGAGUGUACGUCAUAAUUUGUUCUAUUGGGGGUACGCGUUCGCGUGGCCCCUAC